RNAcentral lists this ribosomal RNA (2203 nucleotides) under Dunaliella salina. RNAcentral describes it as "large subunit ribosomal RNA". The stretch from base 1564 to 2110 matches the Rfam family "Group I catalytic intron". The record is from RNAcentral. Lineage: Eukaryota; Viridiplantae; Chlorophyta; Chlorophyceae; Chlamydomonadales; Dunaliellaceae.
AUAAAUUAGAAAAAAAAAACGUACCCUCCGACACUGGGGAAUUAGAGUUAUGUUCUAAGGCUUAAUAGAAAUAACCAGAUUGAAGGAACUCGGCAAAAUGCUUACGUGAUUAUCGACAAGUAAGGACUAUAAAUGUAAAAAUGCAACUGAAGGCAACGACUGUUUAAUAAAAACACAAGACUCUGCUUAAUGUAAAACGUAUUGUUUCUAUAUAAAAAUACUCGUAUGUAAAGAGUCUGACAUCUGCCCAAGGACUAAGGUAAACGGCUGCUGUAACUAUAACGGUACUAAGUCUUAUGUGCCGUGCUUAAAGAUAACUGUAUGCUGAAAAAUCUUAUACCGUGGCCCGCCCGCAGCAAAAAGCCUUCGCUUAUUGAAUAAGCGAAGGCGCUCGCGAGGACGGGCCACGGUAAAAGUAUAAGACAAUCAGCAAGAUAGAUUACCUUUAAACCUAUAAUUUACCUUUAUAAUAAAAUGUAAACAAUCAUUUUAUUGGGGCGCCUCGCGCGGUCUUUUUAUUUACAACCGGGAAUUUCCCUACCACAACAAACAGCAGAUGCAUUACGUGAAGCUAAUCUAAUGCUAACCCAAACUAGAAACUUUGAGCAAUAUAUGUACGACGUCGCCUUCGACGGAGUCCUGGUUCCCUCGUUCCCUGUCAAACGCUCCGCGCGAGUCACCCGGCUCCGUCCGGGGGACUUAAAAAUUUUUUUUAUAAAAAAAAUUAAUUUGACAGGGAACGAGGUCGACGCCGCAGCGCUCUCGCGCAAGGCGCUCGACCGACUAAAAAAGUGUUUCAAUGCGGUCGUAUACGUUUAAAACAUGGAAGUAAUGCUACUCUCGUACUUGUGAUUGAUAAUCGUACCAUGUUGAAAGAGAGAGUAAUACCUUUUUAUAAACAAUACGUUAAUCCUUUCGGAACCGAGUUCCCUGUCCCCUUGACAGGGAACGAGGGAACCAGGGCUAAAACUAUACGAAUAGGGCGCCUCGCGGAGUCACCCGGCUCCGUCCGGGGGACUCCGCGGUAAAAUUUGAAUUACUUUUAAGUUACAUUGAACAAGGGGCUCAUAGAAACCUAAAUGCUUUAAUUAAUGAAAUGCUGCCUAUUUGGGGCGCCUCGCGCUCCGCGCGAGUCACCCGGCUACGUCCGGGGGACUCCGCGGAAUGAUUAAAGAAUGCAAAGGGGUCAGAGAAACCAAACCUUCGCUACUCUAUAUGAAGCUAUUGAAUAUGUAUGUGCUCACAAGUAAAAAAGGAGUAUAAUAUGCGGAGUGGAGUAGAGGUGAAUGUUCUGACCGCGGAGUCCCCCGGACGGAGCCGGGUGACUCCGCGGUAUAAAAAGUGAAAUGGUAAUCAUCUUCAGAGACUUUACGUUAUCCUUUUAAAAUUAAAAAAGAAAAUAAAGUCCAACCUGUAGUUAAAUGACAGGAUAAAUUGACUAAGGUAGCAAAAUCCAUUGACGUUUAAUUGAUGUCGCGCAUGAAUGAUGUAACGAUUGUCUUGCUGUCUCCAAUCUGGAUUCUGUGAAAUUGAAAUGCUCGUGCAGAUGCGAGAUACGUGUUAGAGGGACGAUAAUAAGAAUUGUCGUGUAUAUGAAAUGUAAAAAUUCAUUACAAUUAAUUGGGUUAAAUUCAAGAAAGUUAUUUUAAUUGACUUGAAGCUAAGCUCUAUGUCGAAACGCAUAAAAGAAUAGAUAAAGUUCAACGACUAAAUAGUGAGGGCGCCUCGCGCUCCGCGCGAGUCACCCGGCUCCGUCCGGGGGACUCCGCGGUGUGUUUCCACAAUAAUCUGUUUUAAAGUACCCAACAACUGAAGAGACUUGUACGACGUCGCCCUCGACGGAGUCCUGGUUCCCUCGUUCCCUGUCAAGGGGACAGGGAACCUGGUUCCCUCGCGUCCGGUGGGACGCCUGGUUCCCUCGUUCCCUGUCAAGGGGACAGGGAACCUGGUUCCCUCGUUCCCUGUCAAAUAAAUUUUUUUUAUAAAAAAAAUAAAUUUGACAGGGAACUCGGUCGACGCCGCAGCGCUCUCGCGCAAGGCGCUCGACCGACGAGACGCUCGUAAUGUUAAUUAGUUGAUGACAUAGUCUGAACUUAAGAGUAAUUUUAAGAUUAACAUAUUUGAAGACCCCGUAGCACCUUAACAUGAUGGUAAGACUAAUAAACAAAUACUUGUGGGAGUAUUACAAUAAUAAUAAUAACAA